RNAcentral lists this ribosomal RNA (465 nucleotides) under uncultured bacterium. RNAcentral describes it as "partial 16S ribosomal RNA". It matches the Rfam family "Bacterial small subunit ribosomal RNA", at positions 28 to 507 of the family's 1533-position model. The record is from RNAcentral.
GACGAACGCUGGCGGCGUGCUUAACACAUGCAAGUCGAACGGAAAGGCCCCUUUGGGGGUACUCGAGUGGCGAACGGGUGAAUAACACGUGAGUAACCUGCCCUUGACUUCGGGAUAACUUCAGGAAACUGGGGCUAAUACCGGAUAGGAAUCCUUGCUGCAUGGUGGGGGUUGGAAAGCUUCGGCGGUUUUGGAUGGACUCGCGGCUUAUCAGCUUGUUGGUGGGGUAGUGGCUUACCAAGGCUUUGACGGGUAGCCGGCCUGAGAGGGCGACCGGCCACAUUGGGACUGAGAUACGGCCCAGACUCCUACGGGAGGCAGCAGUGGGGAAUAUUGCACAAUGGGCGGAAGCCUGAUGCAGCAGCGCCGCGUGCGGGAUGACGGCCUUCGGGUUGUAAACCGCUUUCAGCAGGGGCGAAGCUUGUGGUGACGGUACCUGCAGAAGAAGCACCGGCUAACUACGUG